GUUCCAACGCUGGUAAACGAUGUCGAUUUGGAGUUGUGCCCUUGAGGCGUGGCUUCUCGGAGCUAACGCUGUUAAAUCGACCGCCUGGUGAGUACGUCCGCAAGGUUUAAACUCAAAUGAAUUGACGGGGUCCCGCACAAGCGGUGGAGCAUGUGGUUUAAUUCGAUGCAACGCGAAGAACCUUACCUACUCUUGACAUCCAGAGAACUUUCCAGAGAUGNAUUGGUGCCUUCGGGAACUCUGAGACAGUGUGCUGCAUGGCUGUCGUCAGCUCGUGUUGUGAAAUGUUGGGUUAAGUCCCGCAACGAGCGCAACCCUUAUCCUUUGUUGCCAGCGGUUCGGCCGGGAACUCAAAGGAGACUGCCAGUGAUAAACUGGAGGAACGGUGGGGAUGACGUCAAGUCAUCAUGGCCCUUACGAGUAGGGCUACACACGUGCUACAAUGGCGUAUACAAUAUGAGAAGCGACCUCGCGAGAGCAAGCGGACCUCAUAAAGUAACGUUCGUAGUCCGGAUUGGAGUCUGCAAACUCGAACUCCAUGAAGUCGGAUAUACGGCUAG
Molecule: ribosomal RNA, 560 nt
Filed under: Serratia marcescens
Lineage: Bacteria; Pseudomonadati; Pseudomonadota; Gammaproteobacteria; Enterobacterales; Yersiniaceae
Description: bacterial SSU rRNA
Rfam family: Bacterial small subunit ribosomal RNA
Source: RNAcentral